UCUCUGUUAGUAUAUCGGUUAGUACACGCGCCUGUCAUGAAAUAUGGUGCGCGCGAAAGCUGGGUUCGACUCCCAGACAGAGAG
Molecule: non-coding RNA, 84 nt
Organism: Crucibulum laeve
Lineage: Eukaryota; Fungi; Basidiomycota; Agaricomycetes; Agaricales; Nidulariaceae
Source: the annotation of a GenBank genome assembly